UUUCGCGGUCAUAGCAUGAGGGCUAUACCUGGUCUCGUUUCGAUCCCAGAAGUGAAGUCUUUUUGUGUUUUGUAUUGUGUACUAUGGUUAUUCUAUGGGAAUUUCAUUUCGCUGCGAGCU
Molecule: ribosomal RNA, 120 nt
Filed under: Methanobrevibacter sp.
Lineage: Archaea; Methanobacteriati; Methanobacteriota; Methanobacteria; Methanobacteriales; Methanobacteriaceae
Source: RNAcentral